RNAcentral lists this ribosomal RNA (253 nucleotides) under uncultured bacterium. Its description in RNAcentral is "partial 16S ribosomal RNA". It matches the Rfam family "Bacterial small subunit ribosomal RNA", at positions 524 to 776 of the family's 1533-position model. The record is from RNAcentral.
UACAGAGGGUGCGAGCGUUAAUCGGAAUUACUGGGCGUAAAGCGUGCGUAGACGGCUAUCUAAGUCGGGUGUGAAAGCCCCGGGCUCAACCUGGGAAUUGCAUUCGAGACUGAAUAGCUAGGGUACGGUAGAGGGAAGCGGAAUUUCCGGUGUAGCGGUGAAAUGCGUAGAUAUCGGAAGGAACAUCAGCGGCGAAAGCGGCUUCCUGGACCAGUACCGACGUUCAGGCACGAAAGCGUGGGGAGCAAACAGG